CAGGGAACACUGAGUGCUAGCAUUUAUGUUAGCUGUCCACAUGUGUAAAUAGCAUGUGAUAGCAAGGGCUGGGCAAGACCGGUGCCAGCCGUCGCGGUAACACCGGCAGCCCGAGUGGUGAUCACUAUUAUUGGGUCUACAGGGUCCGUAGCCGGUUUAAUCAGUCUUCUGGGAAAUCUAAUCGCUUAACUAUUAGGCUUCCAGGGGAUACUGUUAGACUUGGGACCGGGAGAGGU
Molecule: ribosomal RNA, 236 nt
Filed under: uncultured archaeon
Lineage: Archaea
Description: partial 16S ribosomal RNA
Rfam family: Archaeal small subunit ribosomal RNA
Source: RNAcentral